This 277-nucleotide ribosomal RNA is filed under the name uncultured bacterium. Its description in RNAcentral is "partial 16S ribosomal RNA". It matches the Rfam family "Bacterial small subunit ribosomal RNA", at positions 28 to 308 of the family's 1533-position model. The record is from RNAcentral.
GACGAACGCUGGCGGCGUGCAUAAAACAUGCAAGUCGAACGGAGCUCAGCCGCAAGGCUGAGCUCAGUGGCGAACGGCUGAGUAACACGUAGGUGACCUGCCCCGAAGUGGGGGACAACUCCUCGAAAGAGGGGCUGAUACCGCAUGUGACCACCGCUUCGUUGCGGUGCUCAAAGGCGUAAGCCGCUUUGGGAGGGGCCUGCGGCGGAUCAGCUAGUUGGUGGGGUAAUGGCCUACCAAGGCUUGGAUCCGUAGCUGGUCUGAGAGGAUGACCAGC